ACUCCAUCCGAUCUGACCCCUCACCUCCGUCCGAUCUCAAGCCUCCAUCUCUCAAGCCCUCACCCUCCAUCUCCGACCUCAACCCUCACCCUCCAUCCGAUCUCAACCUCUUUCUCAGGAAAUUGCUGCUGCUUGCUCUUUGUCCGUCAGUUGAGUUUACUCUCCAGUGAAGGUUAAGAUCAAGAGAAAACCCUAAAUUUCACCCACUUUUUUUUUUUAAUUUUUUUUCUUUCUUCAGAGAAACCCAUUUGAAUAAGUGGUUUUGUUUUUAUCCUUCCAUAAAAAACUCCGCAGACGCCGACGCCGAGAGACCAGCCCAGCGCCGACGACCCCAACACUGACAAGGCCGAACCCAACUCAGCCUGCCGAAUUCUCAUACCCAUCAGCGACCCAUACCCAACGCCGUCGAGCCCAUCGCCGACAAGGCUGGUUCACAAGGCUUUCGGUGGUAAAAAGUGUUGCAGGAGUUGUUGUGAUCCUUGAGGUGCAAAGAAGUGCUAGAUCAGAAGCCAGAAAGGAGGAAGUACGCAAACAAGAACUUGAGGUGAUAUGGCAAUACUCAUCUUUGUUAGUGAAACUUAAUCCAUAUGUUUAGUUCAUUUUGUCUAAUGAGAUAUCUGGAGGUCUUUCAAGAGACGGUCAUGCAUCCAAUAAAAUAUAUAUUGACAGGCUUCUUGAGAUGUCAUUAGAUAUUUUUAGUAGA
RNA transcript from Quercus lobata, 703 nucleotides. It is a transcript of the gene named methanol O-anthraniloyltransferase-like, with no coding region annotated. Lineage: Eukaryota; Viridiplantae; Streptophyta; Magnoliopsida; Fagales; Fagaceae. The record is from RefSeq and is a predicted model, not a curated record. The transcript has 2 exons.